AUUAAUCAUGUGAUAGUCAUGUGACAGUCAGUCAGUGCAGCUGUUAAUGCUUAGUAGACGAUAAAUACCAAAAGAGAAGACAUCCCUCAGUCUCUGAUACAUCAUCACUAGCUCUUGCUUUAUUAAUAUCCUCCAGCCCAUGGCCACCACUUAUAAGCACUUGAUAAUUACUAUUAGUGUGUGUGGGUGGAACUGAUACCAGGGUACUCACUCUAUCAACGUGGCCUCUGAUUAGUGAGUGGAGUUGAUGAGUGUUAGCUCCUCCCACUAGCGAUAGUGUAAUAAGUACACCAGUGGAGGUACCAAUCAGUAGCUGAGACUGUGUACAUGUUAAUGAAGUGAUGUAAGGAUUGGUGCAUUUGUGUUUCUUAAUGAUGGGAUCAUAAUCAGCAGUCAACCAGUUCACAGUCAGCUACUGAUCACUUUCCGUGAGACUGCAUCAGCUAUUCACACCAUCUUAUAUCAGAAGAGGAGAGAGGAACAGGAGGACAAUGUAUGGGAGGAAGAGGAGGAGGAGAAGAUAUCAUCAGUUUCCUCAAUGAAAGACAGUGAUGGUGUGUUUAGUUUAAGAGGGAGUUCAGUAAUAGAACAUGGAGUAUUAGUAUCAUGUACGACGCUAUCAACAAGAGGGGGAGGAGUAGGAGGAGGAGCUAAGAAUAUUCACGGGUCAUUAGCUAAUCCUCCUAUACUCAACUACUGGAUAAUAGGGAGAUUAUUUGAGGAGAGAGAGUUGUACAUUUGCUAUCAGGAGAACAUGUCACAGUCAUCUGUUGAGAUUAUUUUUAAAUUGCUGUUUGGAUCAAACAUAUUUUAAAAAUUCUUCU
Molecule: long non-coding RNA, 824 nt
Organism: Amphimedon queenslandica
Lineage: Eukaryota; Metazoa; Porifera; Demospongiae; Haplosclerida; Niphatidae
Exons: 3
Source: RefSeq, a predicted model, not a curated record